CCAACUCCUUCCAUUCC
Molecule: microRNA, 17 nt
Filed under: Corchorus olitorius
Lineage: Eukaryota; Viridiplantae; Streptophyta; Magnoliopsida; Malvales; Malvaceae
Description: ptc-miR482a
Source: RNAcentral